UCUCUCUCUGCAUAUACAUACACUGAUUCAUAUCUAUCUAUUUUCACCUGCUGCUAGUACAUUUCCACAUCAAAUCAAUAAUCAUAUCCCACGUUCUUCUUGCCCAUUCUACAUAACUAUUCAGAAAUUUCAGAUUAUCAUAACACACACUCCUUCUCUAUCUAAAACAAUCUUUCUUCUCUCUCUAAAAUGUCAAUUAACCAAUACUCUUCAGACCUACCAGAAGAAUACUGGUGGACAGACCAACAACAUACUGAAAAAACCUCAUCUUCUUAUCAAGGUAUCACCACUGCCUCUGCCGCUAUGUUUUGCAGCAAGAACACAGCUUUUGGCUUCAAUUUAAACGAAGAAGAAGAAUUUGACGAUGAGAGAGAGAAUAAUUGUAAAGAAGAAUUACAGGAGAAUGAAAUCACGAAAGAAGCAUUAUUCGAGAAGCCAUUGACUCCUAGUGAUGUGGGCAAGCUCAACCGCCUUGUUAUACCUAAACAACACGCCGAAAAAUACUUUCCACUCAACGGCGGCGACUCGGGAGACAAGGGUUUUCAAUUAGGAUUUGAGGAUGAACUUGGAAAAUCUUGGAGGUUCCGUUACUCUUACUGGAACAGCAGCCAGAGCUAUGUAUUGACAAAAGGUUGGAGCCGUUUUGUGAAGGAAAAGAAGCUUGAUGCUGGAGAUAUUGUUCUUUUCCAGCGCCACCGUUUGGAUUGUACUCGGCUUUUCAUCGGGUGGAGGCGCAAAACCGCUGCUCCACCACCAUCUACGAUUGUCGCCAGCGGUAGUGGGUGGAACCAUUACUAUUCUGGCCAUCCUUGUCCGACCCAGCAGUAUGGGAUUACUCUCCCGUACCAACCUGACUGUCUUCAUGCGGAUUCAUGCCGCACGUGCUGUUACAACAGGAUCAGCAAUGCAGAAUCAGACAACAGGAAGCGGGAACUCCAAGAAGCUAAGGUUGUUUGGUGUGAACUUGGAAUGCCGAGCAGACGAGUCUGAACCCGAACCUGAACUCGAGCCUGAGUUGUCGACACCUGUUGGUUCACCCAUGUCGAGCCAGGGUCAAGCGCACUACCCCCAAUCUCACCGCUACAAUCACAUGGAUAUCAAUUUCACUGGAGAUGAUCAUCUAUAUCGCCAAGGAUAAGAUCUGUGGAUGUGACACUACUGCAUAAUUUGACAUGUUCAGCAAUUUCAAAGGUGAACAUUGAACACCACAAAUAUAUUUAUAUUUCAAGAAAAUGGGAAGUAAAUCAAAAUCCCAGAUUUUGUGGGCACUUCUCUCACUAGAAAAAGUUGGGAUUUUUCUGCUGCUCCUGGUUCAGGGGAAAAGGGUAGAAUUCCAAGUGAAAAUGAAGGUGAAAGUUGAAAGAGACUUGAGGAAUGGGAGUGGCAAUGGGUCCCACUAGAUAUGAAACUGACAUGAUCAGGUCCCAGCAUGGAUGAAUAUGGAUCGCUGCAAUCAAGAAUCAACAUGUUGUCAUUUGCUACUGUAGAGAUUCUGCCUCAAGAUUUUUCACUCUUUUGACUAUAUAGGUUUUAAAAAAAAAAAAAGAGAGAAUUACUUAGCCAGUGGGACAACGAACCUCUCCUUUCCCUCUAAUGCAAUUACUUCCAUUUUUUCAUACCUAGUGGAAGUUCUUUUUCUUGAAUAUAUGUACUAAAGUUCAUUUGUAGAAAUGAUGAAAUCUCGGUUCUAGUUGUUUGGUGCC
Molecule: RNA transcript, 1703 nt
Organism: Olea europaea var. sylvestris
Lineage: Eukaryota; Viridiplantae; Streptophyta; Magnoliopsida; Lamiales; Oleaceae
Gene name: B3 domain-containing protein At2g36080-like
Exons: 3
Source: RefSeq, a predicted model, not a curated record